GUAGAGGGUGUGAGAGCACGGUCAGCCACUCAGGAACUGAGACACGAUCCGCACUCGUACCGGAGGCAGCAAUUAGGAAUCCUGCGCAAUGGGGGCAACCGCAAUGCAGAGACACAGCGUGGAGGAGGAAGGUCUUCGGAUUGUAAACUCCUUUUAUAUGGGAAGAAUAGAUGACGGUACCAUAUCAUAAGGACAGAUAAACUACGUGCCAGAAGCAUCGGUAAUGCGUAGGGUCCAAACGUUAUCCGGAUUUACUGGGCGUAAAGAGAUGCGUAGGCGGUUUGAUAAGUCUUGAGUUAAAUACUUCGGCUCAACCGAAGAGAAGCUUUCGAAACUAUCAGACUUGAGACAUAGAGGGGUGAACGGAAUUCCGAGUGGAGUGGUGAAAUACGUUGAUAUUCGGAGGAACAUCAGUGGCGAAGGCGGUUCACGGAACACCGUCUGACGAUAAGGCUCGAAAGCGUGGGUAGCAAAACGGAUCAGAUAACCGUGUAGUCCACGCAGUAAAUGAUGGAUGGUAGGUGCUUGGUAGGACUACUUUCUUUCUUCGGAUUUAAGGUGGAACC
Molecule: ribosomal RNA, 566 nt
Filed under: uncultured bacterium
Lineage: Bacteria
Description: bacterial SSU rRNA
Rfam family: Bacterial small subunit ribosomal RNA
Source: RNAcentral